CGACCCCAGGUCAGGCGAGAUUACCCGCUGAGUUUAAGCAUAUCAAUAAGCGGAGGAAAAGAAACUUACAAGGAUUCCCUUAGUAACGGGGAGCUAAUUGGAAACAGCCCAACCUUAGAAUCGGGUGGAUCCAUCGUCCGAAUUGUAGUCUCGAGAAGCGUCCUCAGCGGAGGAUCGGGCCAUGUCCCUUGGAAGGAGGCGCCAGAGAGGGUGACAACGCCGUUGUCCCUGGACCAUGCCACACGACGAGACGCUGUCUACGAGUCAAGCUGUUUGGGAAUGCAACCCAAAUCGGGCGGUGAAUUUCAUCCUAGGCUAAAUAUGGGUGAGAGACCGAUAACGAACAAGUACCACGAGGGAAAGAUUAAAAGGACUUUGAAAAGAGAGUCAAAGAGUGCUUGAAAUUAUCGGGAGGGAAGAAGAUGGCACCCUGGUCGGAUGUGAAACAGUGACGAGCUAUUCUGCCGAUCAACUCGGGGCGUGGACCAGCGUGGAUUAGGGGGCGGCCAAAGCCCGGGCUCUUGAUAUGCCUGUGGAAUUCCAUCUCCUUGAUUUUGGUAGGAAGCGCGUGCUUUAGGCAUGCUUCGACAUAUGUGUGCUCCCCAUUCGACCCGUCUGGAAACACGGACCAAGGAGUCUGACAUGUGUCCGAGUCAAUGGGCUAGUAAAUUCGUAAGGCAUAAGGAAUCUGAUUGGUGGGAUCCUCCUAAGGGGUGCACCGCCGACCGACCUUGAUUUUCUGAGAAGGGUUCGAGUGUGGCAUACCUGCUGGGACCCGAAAAAUGGUGACCUAUGCCUAAGCGGGGCGAAGCCAAAGCAUACUCUAGUAGAGGCCCGUUGCGAUACUGACGUGCAAAUCGUUCAUCUGACUUGGGUAUAGGGGCGAAAGACUAAUUGAAUCGUCUAGUAGCUAGUUCCCUUCGAAGUAUCCCUUAGAAUAGCUAGAGCUCAGGUACGAGUUCAAUCGGGUAAAGCCAAUGAUUAGAGGCUCCAUGGGGCAACACCCUGACCUAUUUUCAAACUUUAAAUCAGAAGGACGACGUGACUGCUUUGUUGAGCUGCACCAUGUAAUCAAGAGCUCCAAGUGGGCCAUUUUUGGUAAACUGGACUGGCGAUGAGGGAUGAACCGAAAGCCGGCUUAUGGUUCCAAACUGCACUCUAAACAAGAUCCAACAAAGGGUGUUGGUCGAUUAAGACAGCAGGAAGGUGGUCAUCGAAGUCAAAAUCCGCUAAGGAGUGUGUACCAACUCACCUGCCGAGUAAACUAGCCCCAAAAAUGGAUGGGCACUUAAGCGCGCGACCUACACUUAGCCAUCGGGGCAAGUGCUAGACCCCGAUGAGUUGGAGGGAAUGCCGGUCGCUACAAAACCUUGGGCAUGAGCCUGCGCGGAGCAGCCGUCAGUGUAGAUCUUGGUGGUAGUAGUAAAUAUUCAAAUGAGGACUUUGAAGGCCGAAAAAGGGAAAUGUUCAAAGUGAACAGCACUAGCACAUGGGUUAGUCAAUCCUAUGGGUCAGGGGAACCCCGAUAGAUAGCGCGUUUCACACGUACUCCGAAAAGGAAUCGGGUUAAAAUUAUUGAACCGAAACGUGGCGGUUGACGACAACGUUAGGAAGUCGACAAACGUCGGUGGGAGCCUCGGGAAAGGUUGUCUUUUCUAUUUAGCAUCAUGCCCACCAUGGAAUCGGCUUGCCGGAGGUAGGGUCCAGCGGCUGAAAGAGCACUACACAUCACAUGGUGUCUGGUCCGCUCCCGACGACCCUUGAAAAUCCAGAGGACCUAAUGUCGUCCACGCUCGGUCGUACUCAUAACUGCAUCAGGUCUCCAAGGUGAACAACCUCUGGUUGAUUGAAUAAUGUAGGCAAGGAAAGUCGGCAAAAUGGAUCCGUAACUUCGUGAAAAGAAUUGGCUCUGAGGGUUUGGCAUGGGGGUCCUAGUACCGAACCCACUGGCUGUCCGUGAACUGCAUGAGCUGAUCUCGCGGAAAUAGUGGGUCGCCGUGUGCCGGUCGAGAGACGGACUGGGAACGGUUCCUUUGGGGGCCUUCCCUAGGAGUCAAAUAGCCAACUCAGAACUGGUACGGACAAGGGGAAUUCGACUAUUUAAUUAAAACAAGGCAUUGCGAUGGUCCCAACGGAUGUUUACGCAAUGUGAUUUUUGUCCAGUGCUCUGAAUGUCAAAGUGAAGAAAUUCAACCAUGCGGGGGUAAAUGGCCGGAGUAAAUAUGACUCUCUUAAGGUAGCCAAAUGCCUCUUCAUCUAAUUAGUGAUGUGUAUGAAUGUAUUAAUAAGAUUCCCACUAUCCCUAUCUAAUAUCCAGCGAAACCACAGCCAAGGGAACAUGUUUGGCAGAAUCAGCAGGGAAAUAAGACUCUUUUAAGCCUGAGUCUAGUCCGACUUUAUGAAAUGACUUGAGAGGUGUAGUAUAAGUGGGAGUCGAAAAGCGAAAGUGAAAUACCACUACUUUUAACAUUAUUUUACUUAUUUUGUGAAUCGAAAGAGGGGGACUACCCCUCUUUUUGGACCCAAGGCUUGCUUUACGGGUCGAUCCGGGGGGAAGACAUUGUCAGUGGGGAGUUUGGCUGGGGUGGCACAUCUGUUAAAAUAUAACGCAGGUGUCCAAAGAUGAGCUCAACGAAAAUAGAAAAAUCAUGUGGAUCGGAAGGAUAAAAGCUCAUUUGAUUCUGAUUUCCAGUACGAAUACGAACCGUGAAUGCAUGGCCUAACGAUCUUUUAGACCUUCAAAAUUCUAAGCUGGAGGUAUCAGAAAAGUUACCACAAGGAUAACUAGCUUGUGGCAGCCAAGCUAUAUAGUGAAAUUUAUUUUUGAUCCUUCGAUGUCGGCUCUUCCUAUCAUUGUGAAGUAAAAUUCACCAAGUGUUGGAUUGUUCACCCACCAAUAGGGAACGUGAGCUGGGUUUAGACCAUCGUGAGAUAGGUUAGUUUUACCCUACUGACGACAGUGUCGCAAUACUAAUUAAACCUAGUAAGAGAGGAACCGUUGAUUUACAUAAUUUGUCAUCACGCUUGGUUGAAAAGCCAGUGGCAUGAAGCUACCAUGUGCUGGAUUAUGACUGAACGCCUCUAAAUCAGAAUUCGGGCAAGAAGCGACGCAUGCGCUCGCCGUCCGCUUGCUGACCCGCAGUAGGGGCCUUUAGCCCCCAAGUGAAUGUUUUGUUGCCUAAGUCAUCGCGACGAAAGCGUCGCGGUGACCGCCUUGAAGUACAAUUUUCAUCGAGCGGUGGGUAGUAUCCUUUGCAUAAGGCAUAAAUACACGACGGGGUAUUGUAAGUGGAAGAGUAUCCUUGCUGCCACGAUCCACUAAGAUACAACCUUUUGUCACUCCGAUUCAU
Solanum stenotomum is the source of this 3350-nucleotide ribosomal RNA. The record is from RefSeq and is a predicted model, not a curated record. NCBI's taxonomy places the organism in Eukaryota, Viridiplantae, Streptophyta, Magnoliopsida, Solanales, Solanaceae.